RNAcentral lists this transfer RNA (83 nucleotides) under Fibrobacterota bacterium. RNAcentral describes it as "Fibrobacteres bacterium tRNA-Ser". It matches the Rfam family "tRNA". From Rfam's summary of the family: Transfer RNA (tRNA) molecules are approximately 80 nucleotides in length. The record is from RNAcentral. Lineage: Bacteria; Pseudomonadati; Fibrobacterota.
GGAGGGGUAGGCUAACGGCUAAGUCAGCGGUCUUGAAAACCGCCGUCCGAAAGGACUUGUGGGUUCGAAUCCCUCCCCCUCCG